Long non-coding RNA from Anguilla rostrata (American eel), 647 nucleotides. RefSeq lists it as uncharacterized. NCBI's taxonomy places the organism in Eukaryota, Metazoa, Chordata, Actinopteri, Anguilliformes, Anguillidae. The record is from RefSeq and is a predicted model, not a curated record. The transcript is spliced from 2 exons.
CCAAAGAGAAAAGUGGACAAAGCUCACUUCCCUACAGACUGGCUGCAGUGUGUCUGGGGCUGCUGUGUGCUCUUUUAUUGGCUGCCACAUUAGUCAUGUGUGUCCUCUAUUCUGGAGAAGUGGACAGCCAGAUGAUCAUUUCUGGUUUGACAGUCGGACACAGUACCAAGAUGCAGAUCGUGCAGUUACUGUGCCUGGUGAGAAUGCAUGGAUGGACACACACUGCUAUUCGUACCACUGGUUUAUCUGUGAGACUGAUGCUCUGCUACACAUCAGUAGUUGUUUUAAGUCUUAAUAAGAACAUCUGCUUAGUGAUAAUGUUGCAAUGUAAAAAAUAGACCGUGUGCUCAGUAACAGCUAUGCUAAUGGAGGAUGAGAGACUUAUAAACUCAUUGCUAUCAGAGCAAUAGAUUAAACACAGCUACUGAACAAUGCUAGGAAAUAAGCCAGGAAUUUCAUGUGAGCAUAACGCACACUGUGAAAAUAAAUAUUGUGCUUGACUGUGCUGAAAGGGUUCACCUUUACUUUUGCAUGUAUAGCUUUAAGUGUCACGUAGAAACUGUGUGAUUGCUCCAUCUGUCUGCCAUAUUAUUUCAGUAUACAAACUGACCAGAAGAAAGUGUGAACAAAACAUAGUUCACACUUUU